AACUUCACCAACGGUUUUUNGUUCCGCNUCGUGNAGANCCAGCGAAAUGCGAUAAGUAUNUGANUGCNGAUUUUCGGGAUCNUCGAAUCUUGAACNCNCNUUGCNCCCUUNGUNUUCCAAAGGGCNUGCCUGUUGAGCGUCAUUUCUCCCUCAAACCNUCGGGUUUGGUGNUGAGCGAUACGCUGGGUUUGCCUGAAAGAAAGGCGGAGUAUAAACUAAUGGAUAGGUUUUUUCUUCCACUCAUUGGUACAAACUCCAAACAUUCUUCCAAAUUCGACCUCAAAUCAGGUAGGACUACCCGCUGAACUUAAGCAUAUCAAUAAGCGGAGGAAAAGAAACCAACAGGGAUUGCCUUAGUAGCGGCGAGUGAAGCGGCAAAAGCUCAAAUUUGAAAUCUGGCACUUUCAGUGUCCGAGUUGUAAUUUGAAGAAGGUAUCUUUGGGUCUGGCUCUUGUCUAUGUUUCUUGGAACAGAACGUCACAGAGGGUGAGAAUCCCGUGCGAUGAGAUGACCCAGACCUAUGUAAAGUUCCUUCGAAGAGUCGAGUUGUUUGGGAAUGCAGCUCUAAGUGGGUGGUAAAUUCCAUCUAAAGCUAAAUAUUGGCGAGAGACCGAUAGCGAACAAGUACAGUGAUGGAAAGAUGAAAAGAACUUUGAAAAGAGAGUGAAAAAGUACGUGAAAUUGUUGAAAGGGAAGGGCUUGAGAUCAGACUUGGUAUUUUGUAUGUUACUCUCUCGGGGGUGGCCUCUACAGUUUACCGGGCCAGCAUCAGUUUGGGCGGUAGGAGAAUUGCAAAGAAAUGUGGCACUGCUUCGGUAGUGUGUUAUAGUCUUUGUCGAUACUGCCAGCCUAGACUGAGGACUGCGGCUUCGGCCUAGGAUGUUGGCAUAAUGAUCUAA
This 899-nucleotide ribosomal RNA is filed under the name Lodderomyces parapsilosis. RNAcentral describes it as "eukaryotic LSU rRNA". The stretch from base 275 to 899 matches the Rfam family "Eukaryotic large subunit ribosomal RNA", at positions 1 to 642 of the family's 3401-position model. The record is from RNAcentral. Lineage: Eukaryota; Fungi; Ascomycota; Pichiomycetes; Serinales; Debaryomycetaceae.